RNAcentral lists this non-coding RNA (30 nucleotides) under Rattus norvegicus (Norway rat). Lineage: Eukaryota; Metazoa; Chordata; Mammalia; Rodentia; Muridae. The record is from RNAcentral.
UCUGGGCUAACAGGGCCAACUCUUUGUCUC